Molecule: microRNA, 19 nt
Filed under: Ciona intestinalis (vase tunicate)
Lineage: Eukaryota; Metazoa; Chordata; Ascidiacea; Phlebobranchia; Cionidae
Description: cin-miR-4070-3p
Source: miRBase by way of RNAcentral
CACGCGUCACGUGACAUCG